GAAGACCCAGAACCUGGAUGAUUUACGUUCUACUUCAUUUCCGAACCCCUGGCUGCUGACUGAAGUUGUACAUCAAAGCUGAAAACCAUCAAGGCCUCUCUUGGAGACCUCAGAAAGCCUCUUCAGAUUUAGAGGAGUGUCUCUGCAUGUUUUAACCUUUUUGGAAAAGAUGCAGCAUUGGCUCAGGGGAGGAAAGGAUGGUGUCUUUUGUCUUGUGCUGUUUUGAGUCCUCAUUAGUGCCGUGCUUCACGACUGCCCAGGACACGCUGGGCAGAGACGUAUGCUGUCAGCAAAGUUGAAGGACUGGGAAUUCUAACCCUUUUGCCACGGAUUGUCAUAAAACAAUAAGCAGUACAAGCAAACGUGAAGUGGUAUCACCACCUCUGCCUCCUGUCGCCUGACUGAAAGCAUCUGCCUGUGACAGAUUCAGACUACCUAUGGCCUACAUCACCCAGAAAUGUAGUGCUGUGUCCGGUAGCAGUCCAAACCAAUGUGCUGCUCAGCUCGGCAAAGCAGUGACACUUGGAGCUCUGAGACAGAUAAACUGAUACAACGUGGAGCUGCCUGAGCCCCUCCUGGACCAUGCUUCAAAUGCAGCAGAAGGACAUUGGGCAGGAGAGUGCCUCAUCCUGGUGUUGCUUUGGGGCCUUGCCCCAGGGCUACUGGACUGUCCUAGCCACCAGAGAGUGGUCUAACAUGUGGGCAUUCACCAGUGAUAAAGUUGUCUUGGUUAAAACACCUGGCACCAGCUUCUACAUGGACAUCAACUAUCAUCCUGUCGACCUUCCUAAACCCCAGGACAGCGCCCCCUUCCAGCAGGAAGUAGUAGAAGAAAGAAAAACUCUGCCCUUUUUCCUAAUAAUAUAAAAAUGGGAAUGAAAGGAUUUUGCCCUAAAUGAGAUGCUGUAGCAGUGGGAGGCGCUGGGAGGCAAAAAGUCAUCUUCCCUGCCCCUAAGCAAUUUUUUUUUGUCUUUUUGAGACAGGAUCUCACUAUGCAGUUCAGGCUGGCCUUGAGCUCACUUUGUAGCCCAGGCUGGUCUUGAACUCGCAACGAUCCUCCUGCCUCAGCCUCCCGAGUGCUGGGAUUACAGACGUGAGCCACACGCCUGGAAACCCCUAAGAAAUUUAUCUGUGGCACAAAAUGAAUUACAAUGGGCUACCUGUGCAUCAGUAAUGCCCCUUAGGCUCCCCCAAACCUAAGCUAUGUGUAUGCCCCCACUCCACAUGUCUGGCAGAGAGAAUGCCAGACAUCAGUGGUCGGGGUGUUCUCUCUCUGUAUUCUUAAAAUAAAGGCCACUUUACUUUACAUUCUGUCUUCUAACCGCGCCAAAACCUCUUUCACUUACUAUGUCCGUACUCCCGCCUGAAGGAGGAGAAAACACGAAAAGGAGGUCUUCCUUCAAGGGCUUGUUCCAGAAACACAAAUCUCUUCUGCUCAUAUGCCGUUAACCACAGCCUGGUCACGUGCCCAUGUCUGCUGCAAGGAAUGCUGAUUAAUACAGUCUCCAUCUUGGAUCACCUCAUUCCCA
This 1529-nucleotide long non-coding RNA is filed under the name Cavia porcellus (domestic guinea pig). Its description in RNAcentral is "lncRNA (ENSCPOG00000035903.1)". Lineage: Eukaryota; Metazoa; Chordata; Mammalia; Rodentia; Caviidae. The record is from RNAcentral.